AAACCAACAGGGAUUGCCCUAGUAACGGCGAGUGAAGCGGCAACAGCUCAAAUUUGAAAUCUGAUCUCUUCGAGGUCCGAGUUGUAAUUUGUAGAGGGCGCUUUGGUGUUGGCUGCGGUCUAAGUUCCUUGGAACAGGACGUCAUAGAGGGUGAGAAUCCCGUCUGUGGUCGCAUGUCUUCACCGUGUAAAGCCCCUUCGACGAGUCGAGUUGUUUGGGAAUGCAGCUCUAAAUGGGAGGUAAAUUUCUUCUAAAGCUAAAUACUGGCCAGAGACCGAUAGCGCACAAGUAGAGUGAUCGAAAGAUGAAAAGCACUUUGGAAAGAGAGUCAAAAAGCACGUGAAAUUGUUGAAAGGGAAGCGCUUGCAGCCAGACUUGCUUGCAGUUGCUCAUCCGGGCGUUCGCCCGGUGCACUCUUCUGUAGGCAGGCCAGCAUCAGUUUGGGCGGUUGGAUAAAGGCCUCUGUCAUGUAUCUUCUCCGGAAGACCUUAUAGGGGAGUCGUAAUGCAACCAGCCUGGAC
Molecule: ribosomal RNA, 521 nt
Filed under: Pleosporales sp. OTU13 TS-2013
Lineage: Eukaryota; Fungi; Ascomycota; Dothideomycetes; Pleosporales
Description: eukaryotic LSU rRNA
Rfam family: Eukaryotic large subunit ribosomal RNA
Source: RNAcentral